Molecule: non-coding RNA, 72 nt
Organism: Gigaspora rosea
Lineage: Eukaryota; Fungi; Glomeromycota; Glomeromycetes; Diversisporales; Gigasporaceae
Source: the annotation of a GenBank genome assembly
GCCGUCGUAGCAUAGUGGCAUUGCGCCAGUCUUGUAAACUGGAGGUCGGUGGUUCAAUUCCGCCCGACGGCA